GCAUGGGUUUGGAUUUAUGGCAGGCCCGUCCCCCUGGGCCUCUCAUAGUGUCCCAUGCCACAGCACACCGUAACCCUGAACCAUUGCCUAGCCUUGUCCAUAGGCUUCGGCACUGAAGCGAGUUGCACAGUA
Molecule: small nucleolar RNA, 132 nt
Filed under: Choloepus hoffmanni (Hoffmann's two-fingered sloth)
Lineage: Eukaryota; Metazoa; Chordata; Mammalia; Pilosa; Megalonychidae
Description: Small nucleolar RNA SNORA42/SNORA80 family (ENSCHOG00000015323.1)
Rfam family: Small nucleolar RNA SNORA42/SNORA80 family
About the family: The members of this family belong to the H/ACA class of snoRNAs that guide the sites of modification of uridines to pseudouridines. Human ACA42 (SNORA42) was cloned from HeLa cells by immunoprecipitation with anti-GAR1 antibody.
Source: RNAcentral